AGGGCGCGAGCGUUGUCCGGAAUUAUUGGGCGUAAAGAGCUUGUAGGCGGUUUGUCGCGUCUGCUGUGAAAGGCCGGGGCUUAACCCCGUGUAUUGCAGUGGGUACGGGCAGACUAGAGUGCAGUAGGGGAGACUGGAAUUCCUGGUGUAGCGGUGGAAUGCGCAGAUAUCAGGAGGAACACCGAUGGCGAAGGCAGGUCUCUGGGCUGUAACUGACGCUGAGAAGCGAAAGCAUGGGGAGCGAACAGGAUUAGAUACCCUGGUAGUCCAUGCCGUAAACGUUGGGCACUAGGUGUGGGGGACAUUCCACGUUUUCCGCGCCGUAGCUAACGCAUUAAGUGCCCCGCCUGGGGAGUACGGCCGCAAGGCUAAAACUCAAAGAAAUUGACGGGGGCCCGCACAAGCGGCGGAGCAUGCGGAUUAAUUCGAUGCAACGCGAAGAACCUUACCAAGGCU
This 456-nucleotide ribosomal RNA is filed under the name uncultured bacterium. RNAcentral describes it as "bacterial SSU rRNA". It matches the Rfam family "Bacterial small subunit ribosomal RNA", at positions 529 to 981 of the family's 1533-position model. The record is from RNAcentral.